This 450-nucleotide ribosomal RNA is filed under the name uncultured bacterium. Its description in RNAcentral is "partial 16S ribosomal RNA". It matches the Rfam family "Bacterial small subunit ribosomal RNA", at positions 354 to 796 of the family's 1533-position model. The record is from RNAcentral.
GUAUGGAAUCUUCCACAAUGGACGAAAGUCUGAUGGAGCAACGCCGCGUGAGUGAAGAAGGUCUUCGGAUCGUAAAACUCUGUUGUUAGAGAAGAACGUGCAUGAUAGUAACUGAUCAUGUAAUGACGGUAUCUAACCAGAAAGCCACGGCUAACUACGUGCCAGCAGCCGCGGUAAUACGUAGGUGGCAAGCGUUGUCCGGAUUUAUUGGGCGUAAAGGGAACGCAGGCGGUUUUUUAAGUCUGAUGUGAAAGCCUUCGGCUUAACCGAAGAAUAGCAUUGGAAACUGGAAGACUUGAGUGCAGAAGAGGAGGGUGGAAUUCCAUGUGUAGCGGUGAAAUGCGUAGAUAUAUGGAGGAACACCAGUGGCGAAAGCGGCUCUCUGGUCUGUAACUGACGCUGAGGUUCGAAAGCGUGGGUAGCAAACAGGAUUAGAAACCCCUGUAGUCC